This 581-nucleotide ribosomal RNA is filed under the name Escherichia coli. RNAcentral's name for it is "bacterial SSU rRNA". It matches the Rfam family "Bacterial small subunit ribosomal RNA", at positions 1 to 571 of the family's 1533-position model. The record is from RNAcentral. Lineage: Bacteria; Pseudomonadati; Pseudomonadota; Gammaproteobacteria; Enterobacterales; Enterobacteriaceae.
AAAUUGAAGAGUUUGAUCAUGGCUCAGAUUGAACGCUGGCGGCAGGCCUAACACAUGCAAGUCGAACGGUAACAGGAAGCAGCUUGCUGCUUUGCUGACGAGUGGCGGACGGGUGAGUAAUGUCUGGGAAACUGCCUGAUGGAGGGGGAUAACUACUGGAAACGGUAGCUAAUACCGCAUAAUGUCGCAAGACCAAAGAGGGGGACCUUCGGGCCUCUUGCCAUCGGAUGUGCCCAGAUGGGAUUAGCUAGUAGGUGGGGUAAAGGCUCACCUAGGCGACGAUCCCUAGCUGGUCUGAGAGGAUGACCAGCCACACUGGAACUGAGACACGGUCCAGACUCCUACGGGAGGCAGCAGUGGGGAAUAUUGCACAAUGGGCGCAAGCCUGAUGCAGCCAUGCCGCGUGUAUGAAGAAGGCCUUCGGGUUGUAAAGUACUUUCAGCGGGGAGGAAGGGAGUAAAGUUAAUACCUUUGCUCAUUGACGUUACCCGCAGAAGAAGCACCGGCUAACUCCGUGCCAGCAGCCGCGGUAAUACGGAGGGUGCAAGCGUUAAUCGGAAUUACUGGGCGUAAAGCGCACG